CCCCUAGAUGUUCUGGGCCGCACGCGCGCUACACUGAACAGUUCAACAAGUCUUAACCUUGGCCGAUAGGUCUGGGUAAUCUUUGAACGCUGUUCGUGAUUGGGAUAGACCUUUGCAAUUAUGGGUCUUCAACGAGGAAUUCCUAGUAAACGCAAGUCAUCAGCUUGCAUUGAUUACGUCCCUGCCCUUUGUACACACCGCCCGUCGCACCUACCGAUUGAAUGGUCCGGUGAAAUCUCGGGACGGCGGCUUGGUCGCUUGCGUCCGACUGCUGAAACUUGAUUAAACCCUNUNAUUUAGNGGAAGGUGAANUCGUANCA
Molecule: ribosomal RNA, 320 nt
Filed under: uncultured eukaryote
Lineage: Eukaryota
Description: partial 18S ribosomal RNA
Rfam family: Eukaryotic small subunit ribosomal RNA
Source: RNAcentral